ACCAAAUUACUGUUGUGCACAUUGAACUCUCUGUGCACCUCCAUGCAUGUCUUCAUCAUCUUCGUCAUAUGCCUCUUGGGCCUGUUGCUGCUUCCUCCGCAUCUCCUCUUCGAUGUUAACAUCAUGUAAGGUGGUCUCCUCGCACUCGUCCAAUUCCAUAUCAGUCAUUUGUGUUUUCGGUUUUGGUGGCAAUACUGCUUCAAGGUUCUUGCAUUGCUCGGGGGAUAAUGUGUCGGGGAAUUCUACAGUAAAGUGAAUGUAUAGUUUUCCUCUCAUAAAUGGUCUUUGGUACAUAGGCAUUCCUUCAUCAUUUAUGGCUUUAAAUUGAUCUGUCGUGGCCAAAAACAAAGUUCACGAUUGAUAUCUAUGAGCAGAGAUUCACAUAUAAAGCAUAAUUGAUACCAUAGAGAUAAAAAAGGACACCAAAUUUCAACGAACAGCAGGAGAGACAUAGUGUGUGCAUGAAGAAAACAAUUAGACUUACACUCGCUGUAUUAGGGAGACAACGAUAUAUCAAGAAGUCCUAGGCAUAUAUCAGAAUGUAAAAGCAAUUAAAGUAUACUUUGGGCUUACCAGGCUUGACAACUUCUCCGGGUUGGGGUUUGAUGAUCAGCUGCCUAUUAUCUAGGUGAGUCAAGAUGAACUGGAAACCACAUAGGGCCUCGGUUAAGCUCAAGGUGUGCUCUACAAAGAGAUCAUCUCCCUUUCGCUUAAACUUGGGAUGUUCCUUCUGUUGCAAGACAAAAACUAUGUCCCCAGUGACGGUAUCAGGCUGCCACAAAAAGUAAACAUAAACAAUGUGAAAAAUCAAUGGUCCCCUUUUUUGGUUGAUAAUAACAUACAAAAUGGUCAUUAUGACAUAAUCUACUUCAAAAGCUAAAUUGAAUGUCUUACUGCUUCAUCAGCUUCGCCCGGGAAUGUUAUCUUCUGUCCGUUCUGCAUACCCUUCUCGACAACAACUUCCAACACCUUCUUCUCCUGCACAACCUUCUCACCUUUACACUGCCCACACCUAUCUUUAUCAUUGAUCAUCUCACCAGUACCCUUACACUCGUUGCAAGGGUGCUGCAUCUGCUGGAUCAUGGAUGGGCCAAGUUGUCUAAUAGUGACUUUCAUCCCAGACCCUUGACAGCCAGAACACUUCAUUGAAGCACCUGAUUUAGAUCCUUUCCUGGUAAUAAAAAUAUAGUAUAAACCCCAGCAGAACUUCAUAGGGAAAGAUGAUAAAAUGAUGUCGAAACGUAACUAAUAACAUCCUAAACUCACCCCUUGCACUUCGAGCACAAUACAUUGCGAGAUAGUGACAGCUUCUUUGAUGUUCCAUUGUACAGAUCCUCCAGAGAAACUUUGAGAGGGUGUACAACAUCCUCUCCUCUUCUUUGUCUUCUUCCUCUGCUGCUUCCACCACCUCCUGGACAUCAAAUAAAGGAAUAUCAGAGACUGAAAGUAACAUGAAAAGGAAUCAACAAAUUCAACAUCAAACAAACAGCCAUAGAAACAUACCACCAAAUGGGCUGCCACCAAAGAAAGAUGAGAAAAUGUCAAAUGGGUCGUGUCCACCACCUCCACCGCCCAUUCCUUCCUUGAGAGCAUCUUCUCCAUACUGAUCAUAUAUCUCACGCUUCUCGGGAUCACUCAGAACCUCAUAAGCUUGUGCAAGCUCUUUAAACUGAAAUAAACAAAAAAUUGCAGCUAAUUCAUUGAUAAGACUCCACAGUAAUUGACAUCAUUAUCCUUCAAUUAAGAAAGAUUAUUAAUACAGCGACCAUAGUAAAUAAUGUGACACUAAGAGUGCAUACUCAGGGAAGUUAAAGCAAACUCUUGAUUUGAAACAUGGUGUCCAUUACGAACAUACAUAGUAUCCGUUCAAUCCCAAUAACAGACAAUUGAAGUGUGUCUAACAUCAGAAUUCCUGUUGAGCUGAGGAGGUUUGAGGGUUCAAUUACACAACAAAGAAGCUUCACACCAACACAUUCAAAGCUUCCUAUUUCUGCUAAGCAGCAAAAUUAGAUCUAAAAAUCUACCUUUUCCUCCAAGAGAUCAGCUUAAUUACAGCAACUAUCAAGCAACCAUGCCCGAUGGAUAUUAAGGUUCAGUCCAGCUAACAUAUCAAACUAGUUAGUCAGCUUAUUUAGGGCAAUGGAUAGAAUUAAAUUCUCCAUUCAAUUUUACCACCAGAAAUCACUUUUCUAAGCUCAAAGAAAACCUACAGAUAAAGCUAUGAUGGAUCUAAACUAAACCAAAAGAAUUCCAAAACACCCAUUUGUAUAAAAGAUACACAAACAAAAUACAAUUGAGAUAAUCUAUGAAAAAUUGAUGCCGAGGCAAAUCCAGUAUUUAAACACGCCAGAUGCACUACAUAACACACACAUACACACUCAUAUACAUAUUUCACUUUUUCUAUGUAAGUUCGCGUUCGAGAGAUUUAGGGCAUGUACACCCACUGCUUAUAUGCUUGAUCAGCUGAGGUAAAUCCAGUAUUUAAACAUGAUGACUGCACUUCUUAAAACACACACAUACACAGAGACACAUAUGUAUACAUAUUUCAAUUUUUUCUGUAAAUUUGCGUUCAAGAGAUUGAGUGCUCGUACACCCACUGUUUAUAUGCUGGAUCAACUGUGGUGAAAACAAUAACCAAGUAGCUGUACCCUUUCAGGAUCACCUACCAUUUGUAUAAAAUCACAUACAAAAAGAAAUGAUUGCAAAAUGAGAUAAUCUCUACAGACAAACUCCAUAAACACAAAACAAUUUUAUAAAGAUGGUUGCACUUCUUCACACAUUCUAAAUUUCUCAGUAAAUUUGAGCUUGGGAGACUUGGAAUGUACACUCACUGCUUAUAUGCUUGAUCAGCUGAGGCAAACCCAGUACUUAAUCACGAUCUACACUUCUAAAUGAACACACACAUCCACAUAGAUACACAGACGUACACACAUUUCAAUUUUUUCAGCAAAUUUGCAUUCAAGAAAUUUAGUGCACAUAACCCACUACUUAUAUGCUAGAUUAGUUCAGGUAAAACAGAAAAAAAUAGCUGUACCUUUUCAGGAUCACCUCCCUUAUCAGGAUGGUUCUUAAUAGCAGCUUUACGGUAAGCUUUCUUGAGAUCUUCCGGUGCAGCAGUCUUAGGGACACCUAAGAUCUCAUAGUACUUCGUGUUGUCGCUCUUCUUCGGUGCCCUCCCAAACAUCUUCUAUCGCUUAAUUUAGUC
RNAcentral lists this long non-coding RNA (3205 nucleotides) under Solanum tuberosum (potato). RNAcentral's name for it is "long non-coding RNA (STUB_LNC006019)". The record is from RNAcentral. Lineage: Eukaryota; Viridiplantae; Streptophyta; Magnoliopsida; Solanales; Solanaceae.